This 467-nucleotide ribosomal RNA is filed under the name uncultured bacterium. Its description in RNAcentral is "partial 16S ribosomal RNA". It matches the Rfam family "Bacterial small subunit ribosomal RNA", at positions 28 to 506 of the family's 1533-position model. The record is from RNAcentral.
GACGAACGCUGGCGGCGUGCUUAACACAUGCAAGUCGAACGGAAAGGCCCUGCUUUUGUGGGGUGCUCGAGUGGCGAACGGGUGAAUAACACGUGAGUAACCUGCCCUUGACUUUGGGAUAACUUCAGGAAACUGGGGCUAAUACCGGAUAGGAGCUCCUGCUGCAUGGUGGGGGUUGGAAAGUUUCGGCGGUUGGGGAUGGACUCGCGGCUUAUCAGCUUGUUGGUGGGGUAGUGGCUUACCAAGGCUUUGACGGGUAGCCGGCCUGAGAGGGUGACCGGCCAAAUUGGGACUGAGAUACGGCCCAGACUCCUACGGGAGGCAGCAGUGGGGAAUAUUGCACAAUGGGCGGAAGCCUGAUGCAGCAACGCCGCGUGCGGGAUGACGGCCUUCGGGUUGUAAACCGCUUUCGCCUGUGACGAAGCGUGAGUGACGGUAAUGGGUAAAGAAGCACCGGCUAACUACGU